This is a long non-coding RNA of Homo sapiens (human), 1802 nucleotides long. RefSeq lists it as uncharacterized. The transcript has 2 exons. NCBI's taxonomy places the organism in Eukaryota, Metazoa, Chordata, Mammalia, Primates, Hominidae. The record is from RefSeq and is a predicted model, not a curated record.
UGUGCCUUUAAUAUUGAGGUUGAGGUGCAGGCAAAAGGUGUCCAGAAAUUGUGAGACGUGACUGCAUUGACAUCCUCGGUCUAAAACGCCUGGCACCAUGUGGGAGCCUGGCUCCGCUGCCUCUCAACGCACUGGCUUGCUUUUUGCUUUUGAGUAGCUUGAAUAUCAAACCAAGCACAAAGGGAAUCAUACCCAGGAGUUGCUGGAAAAAGCUCAUUUCAUCCACCUCAUUCCCCCAUUCUCUCUGGCAGACACAACUGAUUUUUUUUUUUUUGAAGCCUGAAAAACUUCUCAUUUAAACUUGGGGUGCAAAAGGCAUGUGAAGUGGGAGAGUUGCUGCCUGGACCAGCGAAGGGUUAGCCAGGGAAGGAUUCAACGAAAUACAAAAGCCAACACAGACCUGAAGGGGAACAGGCGGCCCCAGCAACAACUGCCAAACUGUCAUUUUGCUCCGCGGCUGAACAGAAGGCUCGAGUAAUGACAACCACAAAACUCAUUUAAAGUCUGAAAAGGUGACUAAUGAGCUCAUUCAUGCUGGCUAUAAAUUAUUCACUACAACACUGAUCCCACUCAAGACAAACAGUAAAGUAAACUUUAAACACAGACAUCGCUGGCCUUCCAAAGUGGAACAAGUUAUGCCUGUAAAAGUUUUCACAAUGAGAGAGAUACUUGUCUCCCCCUUGUCUAUUGUCACAUUCGUUCUUCUGUUUACUUUUUUUUACUGCCUUUAAUCAAGUUUAAGCAGACACAGCUGUUACACAUUUAUUUCUCUGAGUUUUUUUCCAUUAGUUAUUACAAGCAAUCAUGAUGCUCUAAAAAUAGCAGCAAAUUAUAUUCUCUAGAAAUUGAAGGCUGACCUUAAAAUGAAGCCCAGGUCUUCAGAAAGAAUAUUCAUAUGCACAUGUUGGAUAAAUGACAACAAUGCACAAAGGCAAAAUAAAAGUACAAAGCUUUUUCCACUCUUUGAGAGGUUUUUGAUUUGCUUCCAAAUUUCCUUUGGUUCUGGUGGAAACAGGUUGCUUCAAAACCUUACCAUACAGAACCUGCUUCCAGUGGUCAUGAUUCCAGUUUGAAGGAUUUUCCUUCAAACUUACAAUCUUAAGGCAAUCAAAGAAGAAAUGUUUCAUUUAGGCUUUUUCAGCACAGAUAAACACAGCAGCAGGUUGCUGAAAACCCACCACAUUGCUGCAGACUACUUUCGGUUUCCUGUUUAAUAUUAAAUAAAGAAUUUUAGCUCUUCUGUUUUUAUAAACUGUGCUAUUUGCUACUACUGUCACUACUAAAAGCAUUAUGACUGGGUGGAUAAGUAGUCCUAUGAUUUUCAAGCCUUCUUUUUUCUUUAAUCUUAGUAUCUAUUUUGAAGACAUCGCGAGAGUUAAGAGUCUCAAAUCUGUUUAAUUGAUUUUUUUAUUUUUAAAAGGCCCAAAUAAGUACUUCCGUUAGCUCUUAGAUCUCUGAACAUUAUGUAUUUUUAAACCACUUUGAAUACUUUGAAAAGGGCCACAGAAAACACUCAUAUUCAAAUACCACCAGACGGAGGUUCUGCCUAACCAAAAGUAAAAGCAGAAAAGUUUAAAGCUGAAUUGUGCCCUGCACACACCUUGAGAUUGUAGGGGUGAAAUGAAUGGUCUUGGGCCGGGGAUCUUGCUAAAGGCAUGAUAAAUCAUGCGUUGCAGGCAAAUUAAGACCCAGGCUCUAACUUGAACCUCAGACUGUGCCAAACUCCAUCUCCAUUUAAGGAAAAUGGUUUUCUCAGUUUCUUGCACAUGACCUAAAGGCUUGUCCAGUCAUUUCCGUUGUCU